AAUCCGUGUUGUGGGCACUUGCGCAAGAGAUCCUUGAAUCGCUACCAUGUCUCAAAUAAUGACUCAAGAUCCAUCUGAACAAACAACGAUAUCUCAUUACAAAGCUU
Dioscorea cayenensis subsp. rotundata (Guinea yam) is the source of this 107-nucleotide small nucleolar RNA. The record is from RefSeq and is a predicted model, not a curated record. NCBI's taxonomy places the organism in Eukaryota, Viridiplantae, Streptophyta, Magnoliopsida, Dioscoreales, Dioscoreaceae.